UACGAAGGGGGGCUAGCGUUGCUCGGAAUUACUGGGCGUAAAGGGUGUGUAGGCGGAUACUUAAGUCGGGGGGUGAAAGCCCAGGGCUCAACCCUGGAAUAGCCUUCGAUACUGGGUAUCUUGAGUUCGGGAGAGGUAAGUGGAACUCCGAGUGUAGAGGUGAAAUUCGUAGAUAUUCGGAAGAACACCAGUGGCGAAGGCGACUUACUGGCCCGAUACUGACGCUGAAACACGAAAGCGUGGGGAGCAAACAGG
Molecule: ribosomal RNA, 255 nt
Filed under: uncultured bacterium
Lineage: Bacteria
Description: partial 16S ribosomal RNA
Rfam family: Bacterial small subunit ribosomal RNA
Source: RNAcentral